Molecule: ribosomal RNA, 711 nt
Filed under: uncultured Enterococcus sp.
Lineage: Bacteria; Bacillati; Bacillota; Bacilli; Lactobacillales; Enterococcaceae
Description: bacterial SSU rRNA
Rfam family: Bacterial small subunit ribosomal RNA
Source: RNAcentral
CAUGCAAGUCGAACGCUUCUUUCCUCCCGAGUGCUUGCACUCAAUUGGAAAGAGGAGUGGCGGACGGGUGAGUAACACGUGGGUAACCUACCCAUCAGAGGGGGAUAACACUUGGAAACAGGUGCUAAUACCGCAUAACAGUUUAUGCCGCAUGGCAUAAGAGUGAAAGGCGCUUUCGGGUGUCGCUGAUGGAUGGACCCGCGGUGCAUUAGCUAGUUGGUGAGGUAACGGCUCACCAAGGCCACGAUGCAUAGCCGACCUGAGAGGGUGAUCGGCCACACUGGGACUGAGACACGGCCCAGACUCCUACGGGAGGCAGCAGUAGGGAAUCUUCGGCAAUGGACGAAAGUCUGACCGAGCAACGCCGCGUGAGUGAAGAAGGUUUUCGGAUCGUAAAACUCUGUUGUUAGAGAAGAACAAGGACGUUAGUAACUGAACGUCCCCUGACGGUAUCUAACCAGAAAGCCACGGCUAACUACGUGCCAGCAGCCGCGGUAAUACGUAGGUGGCAAGCGUUGUCCGGAUUUAUUGGGCGUAAAGCGAGCGCAGGCGGUUUCUUAAGUCUGAUGUGAAAGCCCCCGGCUCAACCGGGGAGGGUCAUUGGAAACUGGGAGACUUGAGUGCAGAAGAGGAGAGUGGAAUUCCAUGUGUAGCGGUGAAAUGCGUAGAUAUAUGGAGGAACACCAGUGGCGAAGGCGGCUCUCUGGUCUG